GCUAGGUGUGAUGGCUCAUGCCUGUAACCCCACCUACUCAGGAGGCUGAGGCAGGAGGAUCUUAGUUCAGGGCUAGCCUGGUUAACAGUGAGACCCUGUCUUUC
This 104-nucleotide small RNA is filed under the name Marmota monax (woodchuck). Lineage: Eukaryota; Metazoa; Chordata; Mammalia; Rodentia; Sciuridae. The record is from RNAcentral.